CACAUUCACUGUUGCCCAUUGCAGAAGGUUGUUCAUCCUAUACAUGAUCAGACCUUUUAUUUGACUCUAGAGCAUAAGAGGAAGCUGAAAGAGGAAUAUGCUAUUGAGCCAUGGACAUUUGUCCAGAAGCUUGGAGAUGCGGUCUUUAUUCCUGCAGGUUGUCCUCAUCAAGUGAGAAACUUGAAGUCAUGUAUAAAGGUAGCAUUGGACUUUGUUUCACCGGAAAACGUUGGUGAGUGUAUCCGUUUGACAGAGGAAUUCCGUUUACUUCCCCCAAAUCAUUGGGCUAAAGAAGACAAGUUGGAGGUGAAGAAAAUGUGUCUUCAUGCUAUGAAUUGGGCUGUGGAAGUUUUGGAUCACGGUGGAGAGCGUCAGAGAACAGAGGAAGAUGAGGAAAAGCAAACUGCAAAGAAACAGAGACG
Molecule: unclassified non-coding RNA, 422 nt
Filed under: Hevea brasiliensis (rubber tree)
Lineage: Eukaryota; Viridiplantae; Streptophyta; Magnoliopsida; Malpighiales; Euphorbiaceae
Source: RNAcentral